RNAcentral lists this ribosomal RNA (502 nucleotides) under uncultured bacterium. RNAcentral describes it as "partial 16S ribosomal RNA". It matches the Rfam family "Bacterial small subunit ribosomal RNA", at positions 30 to 523 of the family's 1533-position model. The record is from RNAcentral.
AUUGAACGCUGGCGGCAGGCUUAACACAUGCAAGUCGAGCGGGCGAGGUUGCUUCGGUAACUGAGCUAGCGGCGGACGGGUGAGUAAUGCUUAGGAAUCUGCCUAUUAGUGGGGGACAACAUUCCGAAAGGGAUGCUAAUACCGCAUACGUCCUACGGGAGAAAGCAGGGGCUCUUUAUGACCUUGCGCUAAUAGAUGAGCCUAAGUCGGAUUAGCUAGUUGGUGGGGUAAAGGCCUACCAAGGCGACGAUCUGUAGCGGGUCUGAGAGGAUGCUCCGCCACACUGGGACUGAGACACGGCCCAGACUCCUGCGGGAGGCAGCAGUGGGGAAUAUUGGACAAUGGGGGGAACCCUGAUCCAGCCAGGCCGCGUGUGUGAAGAAGGCCUUUUGGUUGUAAAGCACUUUAAGUGGGGAGGAGGCUUACCUGGUUAAUACCUGGGCUAAGUGGACGUUACCCACAGAAUAAGCACCGGCUAACUCUGUGCCAGCCGCCGCAGUAA